Molecule: non-coding RNA, 135 nt
Organism: Paenibacillus sp. FSL R5-0912
Lineage: Bacteria; Bacillati; Bacillota; Bacilli; Caryophanales; Paenibacillaceae
Source: Rfam
UAGUUGGUGAAAGUCCAACCAAAGGAGGGACCAAGCCACCUUUGUAGCUAGGAUGCUUGCGCAUGGCGAAAUCUGUGUGUAAAAGCGCAUCGACAAGAAGGUGGAUGGGUUCAUUCAUUAUCCGAGGUAAAGUAU